RNAcentral lists this ribosomal RNA (497 nucleotides) under uncultured bacterium. RNAcentral's name for it is "partial 16S ribosomal RNA". The stretch from base 54 to 497 matches the Rfam family "Bacterial small subunit ribosomal RNA", at positions 39 to 507 of the family's 1533-position model. The record is from RNAcentral.
GGGGGGGGGGGGGGGGGGGGGGGGGGGGGGGGGGGGGGGCGGGGGGGGGGGGGGGGGGGGGCUGGGGGGGGGGCGGCGGACGGGUGGGGAGCACGUGGGGGGCCGACCGAUAGGACUGGGAUAACUUCGGGGAACCGGGGCGAAUACCGGAUAGUAUAUUGAACCGCAUGGUUCAAUAGUGGAAGACGGUUUUGCUGUCACUUAUAGAUGGAUCCGCGCCGCAUUAGCUAGUUGGUAAGGUAACGGCUUACCAAGGCAACGAUGCGUAGCCGACCUGAGAGGGUGAUCGGCCACACUGGAACUGAGACACGGUCCAGACUCCUACGGGAGGCAGCAGUAGGGAAUCUUCCGCAAUGGGCGAAAGCCUGACGGAGCAACGCCGCGUGAGUGAUGAAGGUCUUCGGAUCGUAAAACUCUGUUAUUAGGGAAGAACAAAUGUGUAAGUAACUAUGCACGUCUUGACGGUACCUAAUCAGAAAGCCACGGCUAACUACGUG